RNAcentral lists this long non-coding RNA (353 nucleotides) under Nicotiana benthamiana. Its description in RNAcentral is "long non-coding RNA (NBEN_LNC041020)". The record is from RNAcentral. Lineage: Eukaryota; Viridiplantae; Streptophyta; Magnoliopsida; Solanales; Solanaceae.
CAAUCAAGAAAAAGCAUACAUCAUAGUUUAAUGAGCACUGUGUUGCAAACAUGUAUAACUAAAUUAGAUAGUGGUGGUGAGGUUAAUGUCAAAGGUAAACAGGAAUGAGAAUUUCUGCUACACUGUACUUUGCAUCGAUAUUUUAAUGAUGCUUUUUUGGUCCUGUUAGGGGGAGGGGAGAAGGGAAAAUUAGAUAGUGGUUGUGAGGUUAAUGUCUGAGGUAAUCAGGAAUGAGAAUUUCUGCUCCACUGUACUUUGCAUCGAUAUUCUAAUGAUACUUUUUUGGUCCUGUUAGGGGGAGGGGAGAAGGGAAGAAACAGACUCAAUAAUGUAAUGAAAGAUUUAGUGGCAUU